Molecule: ribosomal RNA, 478 nt
Filed under: uncultured bacterium
Lineage: Bacteria
Description: partial 16S ribosomal RNA
Rfam family: Bacterial small subunit ribosomal RNA
Source: RNAcentral
AUGAACGCUAGCGGGAGGCCUAACCCCUGCCAGCCGAGCGGUAUUUGUUCUUCGGAACAGAGAGAGCGGCGCACGGGUGCGGAACACGUGUGCAACCUGCCUUUAUCUGGGGGAUAGCCUUUCGAAAGGAAGAUUAAUACCCCAUAAUAUAUUGAGUGGCAUCAUUUGAUAUUGAAAACUCCGGUGGAUAGAGAUGGGCACGCGCAAGAUUAGAUAGUUGGUGAGGUAACGGCUCACCAAGUCAAUGAUCUUUAGGGGGCCUGAGAGGGUGAUCCCCCACACUGGUACUGAGACACGGACCAGACUCCUACGGGAGGCAGCAGUGAGGAAUAUUGGACAAUGGGUUAGCGCCUGAUCCAGCCAUCCCGCGUGAAGGACGACGGCCCUAUGGGUUGUAAACUUCUUUUGUAUAGGGAUAAACCUACUCUCGUGAGAGUAGCUGAAGGUACUAUACGAAUAAGCACCGGCUAACUCCGUG